UCCCAUGUGGCUCAGUUGGUAGAGCAUGGUGCUUACACCACCAGUGUUGUGGGUUUGAUUCCCAUGGGGGAC
This 72-nucleotide transfer RNA is filed under the name Salmo salar (Atlantic salmon). It matches the Rfam family "tRNA". From Rfam's summary of the family: Transfer RNA (tRNA) molecules are approximately 80 nucleotides in length. Lineage: Eukaryota; Metazoa; Chordata; Actinopteri; Salmoniformes; Salmonidae. The record is from Rfam by way of RNAcentral.